Molecule: ribosomal RNA, 550 nt
Filed under: uncultured bacterium
Lineage: Bacteria
Description: bacterial SSU rRNA
Rfam family: Bacterial small subunit ribosomal RNA
Source: RNAcentral
UAGGGAAUCUUCGGCAAUGGACGGAAGUCUGACCGAGCAACGCCGCGUGAGUGAAGAAGGUUUUCGGAUCGUAAAGCUCUGUUGUAAGAGAAGAACGAGUGUGAGAGUGGAAAGUUCACACUGUGACGGUAUCUUACCAGAAAGGGACGGCUAACUACGUGCCAGCAGCCGCGGUAAUACGUAGGUCCCGAGCGUUGUCCGGAUUUAUUGGGCGUAAAGCGAGCGCAGGCGGUUAGCUAAGUCUGAAGUUAAAGGCUGUGGCUUAACCAUAGUAGGCUUUGGAAACUGUUUAACUUGAGUGCAAGAGGGGAGAGUGGAAUUCCAUGUGUAGCGGUGAAAUGCGUAGAUAUAUGGAGGAACACCGGUGGCGAAAGCGGCUCUCUGGCUUGUAACUGACGCUGAGGCUCGAAAGCGUGGGGAGCAAACAGGAUUAGAUACCCUGGUAGUCCACGCUGUAAACGAUGAGUGCUAGGUGUUAGACCCUUUCCGGGGUUUAGUGCCGUAGCUAACGCAUUAAGCACUCCGCCUGGGGAGUACGACCGCAAGGUUG